GGAUGCGAUCAUACCAGCACUAAAGCACCGGAUCCCAUCAGAACUCCGAAGUUAAGCAUGCUUGGGCGAGAGUAGUACUGGGAUGGGUGACCUCCUGGGAAGUCCUCGUGUUGCAUUCC
This 119-nucleotide ribosomal RNA is filed under the name Triticum aestivum (bread wheat). Lineage: Eukaryota; Viridiplantae; Streptophyta; Magnoliopsida; Poales; Poaceae. The record is from RNAcentral.